UGGGGAAUAUUGCACAAUGGGGGAAACCCUGAUGCAGCGACGCCGCGUGAACGAAGAAGGUAUUCGUAUCGUAAAGUUCUGUCCUAUGGGAAGAUAAUGACAGUACCAUAGAAGAAAGCUCCGGCUAAAUACGUGCCAGCAGCCGCGGUAAUACGUAUGGAGCGAGCGUUGUCCGGAAUUAUUGGGCGUAAAGGGUAGGCAGGCGGUUUAAUAAGUCGAAUGUUAAAGAUCGGGGCUCAACCCCGCAAAGCAUUGGAAACUGAUAAACUUGAGUAGUGGAGAGGAAAGUGGAAUUCCUAGUGUAGUGGUGAAAUACGUAGAUAUUAGGAGGAAUACCAGUAGCGAAGGCGACUUUCUGGACACAAACUGACGCUGAGGUACGAAAGCGUGGGGAGCAAACAGG
RNAcentral lists this ribosomal RNA (403 nucleotides) under bacterium. Its description in RNAcentral is "partial 16S ribosomal RNA". It matches the Rfam family "Bacterial small subunit ribosomal RNA", at positions 355 to 776 of the family's 1533-position model. The record is from RNAcentral.